GGGGGUGAAUAGCUUCGACAGGCGGUGUUUUGUCACAGGUCGCAGGCCCUGGCUGGCUGGAACCAGGAUAAAAUCCGGCCAAAAAACAAACGCCAACUCACAGUUGGCUUGGGCCACUGCCUAACACGCAGUGAGUUCACGUCGGUCCCUGAUACCUGCUAAGGGGCAGCCGGCGUCAUGAGCAGGCUGGAGGUUCUCCCGCUGUCACCGUCGGAGGGGGCCUCGAGACCAGAACGGGGAUAGUCCGGGCGUACCUGUCCGUCGGUUUCUCCCGGACGAAAUUCAGGGCGGACUAAGCCUGUAGUGGCCUUGGCAGUCGCCGUUUGGACGCGGGUGCGAAUCCCGCCACCUCCACAA
This 357-nucleotide transfer-messenger RNA is filed under the name Elusimicrobia. Its description in RNAcentral is "UBA9628 sp003452935 Standard tmRNA". It matches the Rfam family "transfer-messenger RNA". From Rfam's summary of the family: Bacterial tmRNA, also known as 10Sa RNA or SsrA, is named for its dual tRNA and mRNA-like properties. Its role is to liberate the mRNA from a stalled ribosome. To accomplish this part of the tmRNA is used as a reading frame that ends in a translation stop signal. The record is from RNAcentral. RNAcentral also lists the same sequence under 1 other name. Lineage: Bacteria; Pseudomonadati; Elusimicrobiota.